UCCCUGGCGGUCUAGUGGUUAUGACUCAGUGUUUUCAACUCUGUGGCCUGGGUUCAAACCUAGUCUGGGAA
This 71-nucleotide transfer RNA is filed under the name Sus scrofa (pig). It matches the Rfam family "tRNA". From Rfam's summary of the family: Transfer RNA (tRNA) molecules are approximately 80 nucleotides in length. Their secondary structure includes four short double-helical elements and three loops (D, anti-codon, and T loops). The record is from Rfam by way of RNAcentral. Lineage: Eukaryota; Metazoa; Chordata; Mammalia; Artiodactyla; Suidae.